This 305-nucleotide ribosomal RNA is filed under the name uncultured bacterium. RNAcentral's name for it is "bacterial SSU rRNA". It matches the Rfam family "Bacterial small subunit ribosomal RNA", at positions 335 to 636 of the family's 1533-position model. The record is from RNAcentral.
GCGCCUACGGGGGGCAGCAGUGAGGAAUAUUGGUCAAUGGGCGCGAGCCUGAACCAGCCAAGUCGCGUGAGGGAUGACGGUCCUACGGAUUGUAAACCUCUUUUGCCGGGGAGCAAGCGUGCGUUCGUGAACGCACGUCGAGAGUACCCGUAGAAUAAGCUCCGGCUAACUACGUGCCAGCAGCCGCGGUAAUACGUAGGGAGCAAGCGUUAUCCGGAUUUAUUGGGUGUAAAGGGUGCGUAGACGGGAAAACAAGUUAGUUGUGAAAUCCCUCGGCUUAACUGAGGAACUGCAACUAAAACUAU